AUUUGGAAAACAAGUAAAAUGACAAAACAAAUACAACUAUAUUAGUAAAGUGAAUGGAUUAAACCAUCCAACCAAAGGCAGAGAUCAUCAGAUCCCAGUUUUCAAAACAGGAUCCAACUCAGAGUUCCCUGGUAACCUAGCGGUUAAGGAUCAGGGGUUGUCACUGCUGUAGCUUGUGUCACUGCUGUGGCACGAGUUUGAUCCCUAGCCUAGGAACUUCCACAUGUUGUGGGUGUGGCCAGAAAAAGAAAAGAAAUUGGAGCCCUCAUAUAUUGCUUGUGGGAAUGUGAAAUGGUAUAGCCACUUUGGAAGACAACUUGGCAGCUCCCCAGAAGGCUAAAAAAAAAAAAAGAGGUACCAUGGGAUACAGUAAUUCCACUCACAGUUAUAUACCCAAGAGAAAUUAAAGCACAUGCCCUCACAAAAACUUGCACACGAAUAUGCAUAGCGGCAUUAUUCUCAGUAGCCACAAAGUGGAAGCAACCCAAAUGUCUAUCAACUGAUCACGGACAAGUAUGGUCCAUGUAUACAAUGGAAUAUUACUCGGCAAUGGAAAGGAAUGAAGUACAGAUACAUGGUCCAACAUGGAUAAAGCUUGAAAACAUGCUAAGCGAAAGGCCAGACACAAAGGACUACCUAGAGGAGAGGUCCAGAAGAGGCAAAUUCAUAGAGGAAAAAGUGUAGAUGAGAUGUUGCCUAGGGCUGGAGGAUGGAUGAUGGUAGGAAAUAAGGGUGAAAGCCGAAGGGUAUAGGGUUUCUUUUGGAGUGAUAAAUUGUUCUAAAAUUAUUAUUUUUAUUAUUAUUUGGUUGCUCUGUGGCACAUGGAAGUUUCCGGGCCAAGGAAAGAUCUGAGCCGCAGUUGUGACCUGUGCCAUAGCUGCAACCCUGCCAGAUCCUUAAUCUACUGUGCCCCAUGGGGAUCAAACAUGUGACCCAGCACUCCAGAGAUGCCUCUGAUCCCAUUGUGCCACAGCAGAAACUCUUAAAAUGUUCCCAAAUUGAUUGCAGUGAUGAUUGCCCAACUCUAUGAAUAUACCAAACUAUUGAGUCGCACACCUUAAACUGGUGAAUUUAUGGUGCGUGAAUUAUAUCUCAAUAAAGCUGCUGCCCACCCCGCCACCAAACAAACAGGAAUUUGAGGUCCCUGCUGGGUGGGACCAGAGGACAUCUGGUCUCUCAAGAUAGUCCCAGUUGUGGUUUUGGCCCCCUGGCCUCCAACCCCUUGUCAUCUGAGCCCCUCUCUUCAUAUUACCUGGAAGGAACUGCUGCUCUUCCUCCCUCAGCCCCUAAGACCUCGUUUAUCUCAAAACUUCGGGGUGGGGCUGUGGGGCUGGGUGAGAUGAGGCCCCUGGCCAGAGUGGCCGUGGCCAUGGCAAGUCUUGGCCCAGACUCCUGCCAGAUUAUCCCUCUGGCCAGCCUUCCUGGAAAGGCAUGCAUGAGCUCAGAGCCUGACUGCAAAGGGAGCCAAGAGAAUGGCGGAAGGGUGCUGGGCUAACCCAAGGCAGGGGCUCUGGGCAAGGGAAGGCAAUGCCCCCCUGCUCAUCCAGCCCCUCAGAACCACAGACAGAGUUGGGCCAGGCCUUGCCUUUAUUAGGGUAGGAAUCCCUGGGCCCCAAACCAGCAACAGAAGGGUAGGGGCCAAAGGCUCCUCUGAGACCCAGUCCCCCAUCCAAUCCUUGGAUUUUGCAAUGGGAUUGAGGUGGUGGGAGGGGAGUCCCCUGAGUGUGCCCAUGUGUGAUACCUGCCAAGCAACCCUCAUGGCCAUACCAUGGGAUUAGAGGAGGGGAGGGGCAGAGCUGGCAAAACUGACCUGCCCGUGGGGUGUUCCCAGCCCAGUGAGAAAGGGAGAGCGCGCCUGCGUCUUGCAGCUAAGUGAAGACCCAGCGCUGCGGGGGGAAGGGCCAGAGAAGCAGAAGUUCCCAGUGUGCAAAAAAGCCAUGGGCGGUGGGAAGGAACAGGGUUAGGAGUCAGAGCUGGGGUGAAGCGCCAGUUCCUCUGUUCUCCAGCUGACAGAUGGGACCAUCGGAGCACCUCCCUCCUGGAGCUGUUGUCAGCAUGAAUUCUGAUAAUCCACGUGACCCCUGGCCUGUGGCUGGCUCCCACGGAGUACUCCCAGCACAGCGAUUGUCACUGCCGUUUGGGGGCGGGGCCUGGAGCCGAGGCUGCCACCUAGGGCUGUGUGCUGGACAGCUCUAGGGGGCCUCAUUCACAUCAUAGCCUUUGUGGAUCUACUACAGAACUUUCCCAGCCAAUGGAAGGACGUAUGCUGUCUGGAGAAGCUGCGCUUUUCACUCAUUUGCACAAAAUUGCCUUAUAGUCUGGCUGUGCAUCGCAGGGUACUGUAGCCUCUCGCUACAUAGGGUCAUUUCUAUUAAAAUGAAUGAGAAUUAAAGAUAAUUAAAAAUUCAGAUCCUCAGUUGCACGAACCAUAUUACAGGGACUCGCUGGCCUCGUGGGACUGUGGUAUUGGACGGGGCAGAUCUAGAUCAUGCCCAUCAUCGCAGAAAGUUCUUAGACGGUGCUGCUCUAAGGGGUGGUGCUGCCCAGAACCACCAGAGGAGGCUUUGUGGAGGCUUGAGAGCAGGUUGUGAGGAAUGGGAAGAAGAAAUGGGUGGGAAAAAAGAGGAAAUUGCAGGCAGGAAGCCACACAUAUCGCCUCUCCUUUGGCCCCACUCUCUUAGCUUCUCCAAGCCCUAAGGGGAUUCCUAGGAGUCAGUCUCUGGGGAAAAGAAAGUCAGAAAAGAGAUUGAGGAGGGAGUUCCCACUGUGGCUCAGAGGUAACGAACCCGACUAGCAUCCAUGAGGAUGCAGAUUCGUUCCAUGGCCUCGCUCAGAGGGUUAAGGAUCUGGCAUUGCCGUGAGCUGUGGUGUAGGUCUCAGACGUGGCUGAGAUCCCACGUGGCUGAGGUUGAGGUGUAGGCCAGAGGCUACAGUUCCGAUUCGACCCCUAGCCUCAGGAGUCUCCAUAUGCCGCGGUGUGGCCCUAAAAAGAC
RNAcentral lists this long non-coding RNA (2993 nucleotides) under Sus scrofa (pig). Its description in RNAcentral is "lncRNA (ENSSSCG00000061744.1)". The record is from RNAcentral. Lineage: Eukaryota; Metazoa; Chordata; Mammalia; Artiodactyla; Suidae.